This 460-nucleotide ribosomal RNA is filed under the name uncultured bacterium. RNAcentral describes it as "partial 16S ribosomal RNA". It matches the Rfam family "Bacterial small subunit ribosomal RNA", at positions 338 to 795 of the family's 1533-position model. The record is from RNAcentral.
CCUACGGGAGGCAGCCGUGGUGAAUAUUUGUCAAUGGUCGCCAGCCUUAACCAGCCAAGUCUCGUUAAGGAUGACUGCCCUACGGGUUGUAAACUUCUUUUAUAAAGGAAUAAAGUGAGGCACGUGUGCCUUUUUUUAUGUACUUUAUGAAUAAGUACCGGCUAACUCCGUGCCAGCAGCCGCGGUAAUACGGGGGAUCCGAGCGUUAUCCGGAUUUAUUGGGUUUAAAGGGAGCGUAGAUGGGUUGUUAAGUCAGUUGUGAAAGUUUGCGGCGCAACCGUAAAAUUGCAAUUGAUACUGGCAGCCUUGAGUACAGUUGAGGUAGGCGGAAUUCGUGGUGUAGCGGUGAAAUGCUUAGAUAUCACGAAGAACUCCGAUUGCGAAGGCAGCUUACUAAACUGCCACUGACAUUGAUGCUCGAAAGUGUGGGUAUCAAACAGGAUUAGAUACCCGGGUAGUC